AGCCACAGCCAUAUCACCCUGAACUCACUGAAUCUAAGCUGGGCUGAGCCUGGUCAGUACCUGGAUGGGAGACCACAUGAGAAAACUAGGUUGCUGUUGGAA
This 102-nucleotide ribosomal RNA is filed under the name Danio rerio (zebrafish). The record is from RNAcentral. Lineage: Eukaryota; Metazoa; Chordata; Actinopteri; Cypriniformes; Danionidae.